UUGUAGGCUAUGUAAUUGUCAUGAGACUGCUCUUUUUCCUUCCAAAAUGCCCUUUUUCCUCCCCUCUCUGUCACUACACACCCUUUGACAGCUACUUUCAGCCAGAAAGGGAGACAAAACACAAAAGCCUUUGUAUGAGAUCUGUCUUUACCAACAUGGUUUCAUGGUCAACCCACACUAGUCAAGAGCAUUAAUGUUUUUAACCAAAAAGAUUUUAAUACAGCCAUGUAAAUGAUUUAUGAUUAUUUUACCCUUACCCUUGCAAACCCAACAUCUAAUCUUUCCUUAAUCUUGGUGACUUAUCACUACCCCACCUAACCAGAAUAUAAACAAAUUCUUCAGCAAAACAAACAUCAAGCAAUAUCGUUUGCCCUGUCUGCAUUUUUAGGGCUCUGGUAGAAGCCUGUGAAUAAUUACACCUCAUUUCCUCAUUACCUGUCUAUAAAGAUAGUACGCAAACUACAAAAAUAUUCACAUUUCCCCAUCGAACUAAAGACAAGAUGAGAAUGUCCUCGGCCAAAGCAAGGUUAUGGAUUGUCUGCUAGUCUGAUGUUAAAAUACUAGGUUUUGACAACUGCACCUGAAAUUUAUAGGCAUAAAGAAAAGCUGUAUGAUCUUGUCUGGGAUGAAGGAAACAUGUGACUUCAAUGUUUUGCUCUUAAUUUCCUUCUGACUUUAAACUGUAAUAAACUGUCCUAGCAUUCUUUUUUUCUCCUUGUGUCUCAGUAUGAUCUCAGAACACACCCUUGGUCAGGAUCAGGCUGAUUAACUUUUUCCUUCCCUCCUCCUUCUCUGCUCUGUACAUAAGCUGGCCUCUAAACUUUGAGAGACAGCUGGUGUAACAGUUAUGCUUUUGUUUAGAAAAUGUGAUCUGAAGAUUCUUCAAGUAUGUAAUAAACUAAUUUCUAACAAUUUGGUGCUAUGAGUGACUUGGAUGGCACAUUAUUUUAUGUCAUUGUUUUAAGAACAUAAAGAAAAUUUGGUGAAAAAAAUUCAUUUCCUUGUAAAAUAGUAGAGAAGGAGUCAGUAUAAGAUCUAUCCUCUUAUGGAUUGAAAGAAGACUGUAUGGUUGCUGUAUACUGUAGCCAAGCAUCAAGCCAGGUUAUCCUGUUACAGCACCAUGACCAGUGAAGACCUAAAUCCAGUGAAUUAAGGGAAAUAUUCCUGAAAGCCUCCUAACAAAAGUGCCUGACUGGACUGAGCUUGAAUUGAAGGAUAUAAAGAAGUAAAUGAGUAAAACAAAAAAUGAGGAGCAAAUUAGUAAGUGUGUACAGAAAGAAAUGUGAAUCAGCAGCAUAUUUUUGUGAACCAUUUGAGAGCCUAUCUGUGCCACUCUGACAAUUACACUAAUGAGAAUACUGACUAGUCUGAGGCAAGGCCUUUCUUUACACAACUGGUUGAUUCUUUAGUGCAUGCUCUCUAUCAGGCACUAGUAACUACAAUGCGAAAUGGGUUACAGUUCAAAUGGUCAGAGUUCAAGUAAGAAUUUGGUCUUUUUGAUGAUGAUUUUCAACACUCUACUUCAAGUAUUGCUGCUUCUUAUGUGCACAGAGGAAACGGUUAUAAAACUGGUCCCAGUCAGCCAGAGGAGAGUUCAUCAGCUGAGCUGUCUCAGCACCAGUUAUCAUCCAUUGUCAAAGCCAUGCAGGAAGCAGUCCCUGGCAGUCAGCCAGUUGCUAAAAACAUUAGCCCUGCUGCUUUGGCACAUUUAUGCCAUCAGUAAAUAUGUAGAAAACUGUCUUUUUUGCUUUUUUGCCCAGCUGAUAGAUGAUCGACCUCUAACUAGUGAGGAUCAGAACAUACAGUACAUGAGAAAGAUUUAUGGGUGCUUUUGGAUGUCUUGGUAAUAAGGUCACAAAGCCAGUUGUGAAAAAGCACAGCUACGUUGUGAUGGAGCACUAUAUUUAGAACAGGGUGUUACAAAGGGCUCUAUGGUAAAUUUGCCUGCUAGAAGCUCUGCUAUGGAUUUUUAUGUUGCUAUCUCACAAACACUAUAUGAUCUGCUUAAAUGUAACCCUGGACAACAUGAUCAAAUCAUACAUACUGAUAGUACAAUGGCUGCAUUUGAACAGUUGAAAUCAGCUCUGGUAUCUGAUCCAGCUCUAGGCCUUUAUGACCCUAGCAAUCAGUACAUUAUCUUUGUACUUGAGGACUGUGGGUUCAUGACAUCAUGACUAUCUGGCUGGACAGCACCUAAUAACCAUGAAACACUACCCAGUACUGCCUUACCAUGCCCGUUCUCAGCCCAAAAAAGCUGGACUCCUUACCUGACCACACACUCUACACUCUUUAGGUCACCUAUGAGUGGACAAUAUGGUUUUCACCCUCUUGCUGGAACUCUAGGUUCAUGGACCAGUGUCAGAGGACCAUGGUGAAAAAGCAUAAUAAACAGACAUUGGAACCUAAGUAGGAAGGUCCCGGUCAGGUUCUGUUAAUUAAACAUGGACACACAUUUCAAUAUUAAAGUUAUACUGCCACGAAGGAAAAGUGGGUGCAUCAGAGAGAGUGCUCUGAUGUUAGAAUUCAGGGGUCAAACUCAAUGUGAAGCUUCUCUUUACCCUCUUAUGCAUUUAGUGCUCCUCCCUAUCUCCUGAUGUCUAGGGCCUAGUGGUAGGUAUAGGGGAAAAAUGCCAGUAAACUAGGAGGGGGCACAUAUACUCUCACCAUCCACUUUAAUAGGAACACCUGUACACCUGCUUAUUUAUGAUGUCUGUGACUUCAACCGUGGCAUGGUUGUUGGUGCCAGAUGGGAUGGUUUGAGAAUUUCAGAAACUGCGGAUCUCCUGGAAUUUUCACACAUAACACUCUCUAGAGUUUACACAGAAUGGUGCAAAAACAAAAAACAUUAAUUAAGUGACAGUUCUGUGGGUAGAAAUACCUUGUUGAUAAGAGAUAAGAGGAAAAUAGCCAGAUUGGUUCGAGCUGCCAGGAAGGAUAUAGUAACUCACACACACACAGAAGGCACUUUUAUCUUAGCUGUGACUCAGUGGGCAGCAGUGACAUGUUGAGUCUUCUUUGGCCUAUAUCAGAGAUUGUUUUUACACUAAUCCCAUUUAUUUGGAAAAAUGAAUGUUCUCUGUGUUCAUUUUACUUUGUAAGAUUUCUUUUUCACUGACAUAGUAUGGGUUUAUGGUUAUUCAUGUACAGUUAUGUUUUUCAUCCUCUUUAGUUAAAAACAGUUAGGAACUAACUGACUGCUAAUUGAUUACUAUGGCAAUGGGGGCGUGGUCAAGCCUUAGCUGUGGACGGAGAGGAGGCAGGUCGAACCAACAGGUAACACACGAUGAUUCUCACCUGUGUCUUAUUACCGCCAGUCUACUUAUUUGUAACCGAGAGAGAGCCAUAUAGCUGGCAUGUCUCACAAGCUCCACCAGCUAGAUCUAUGGAUCCAUCCAGUCCGCUAUCUUAUAUAUUAUGGUCCACCGUCGCCUCGCACCUGAUGCCGUUUUUGACUGGUCACUUCUCCACAUGAACAGACCGUGGCCAGGUUGUGGGGUGGCCAGGAAUCCUCUAAAACUUUAACCUGCCACUGGAUGUCUCCCCUCUUCUACAUACACAUUAGGAUCUCAAUUCCAUGUAUUAAUAAGCUGUCACUAACAAGGCUUUAUAGCAAUCUUUUAUCACACACCAGCAUUUAGGAAAAUUACUGAAAUAACUAAAUAUGUCCAUUUUGGGUACAUGGCUGUGAGGUUUUUUUUUUUUGUUUGUUUUUUUUUUGUUAACAAGAAAGCUCCUAAAGCUCCUGCUGCUCCAUGUUUCUGUUGGCGAUCAAUCUGCCACAAGCACUGAAAACGAGUUACUGAAUAAAUGUUAUUCUGUGAUGUGUGCUGUGUUAAAUUCAAUUUAAGUCACUCAGGUAAAAACAGAAUAGCUCAAACAUUCUAGUCCUUUGCAAUAACAUCCAGAUGUGAUGGACAACAAAGAUAGGAAGUUAAUGUGUUUUCUGCUCAAUGUGUUUAUCUGUCUCUCCAUUUUUAUCUCCUUAUAAAACCAUUAACUGUCCCUGUGAGUAUGUUAAAAUCUUUCAGACUGUAGAUGUCUAACAAUGAACUAAUUUUGUCAGGCAAUCAGCAAACAGCAUAGACGAGGCAAAAUCCAAACUCAUGAAACCAAGUAACAAAGUCAAAAACCAGAAUAGCAAGGACAAUAACAAAAGGCUUGGUAAAAGGCAGGCAAUGAUACACUGAGUGUUACUUCACAGUGAGUCCUUUAUAUACCGUCAUGGGAAAAAGAAAUGGGAAAAAGAAAAACCACUCUCCUUCAAAUCUGUUUUCAUGUAUCAGGGCCUAAACAAUUGUGUGGUCCUCACCAACUUCUACAAACAAACCCAGGUUUCCCAGGUCCUGUGGCUGCAAAACAAGCCCAAAUUAUCACCCCCACACCACCAUGCUUGACAGUUGGUAAGAGGUGUUGUGGUGAUACGCUGUGUUUAGUUUUCACCAGUGCAUGAUAACCAAACAUCUCCACCUUGGUCUCAUCAGUCCAAAGGAUAUUGUUCCAGAACUUUUGUGAUUUGUUCAAAUGCAAUUUUGCAACCCUAAGUCGUGCUGCCACAUUCUCUUGGAGAGAAGGGGCUUUUUCCUAGCCACCCUUCCAUGACAGCCAUACUUGUUCAGUCCUUUUCUGAUUGUGCUGUCACAGAAGUAAAUAAUCUUGUACAUUUCUUUAGUAACACCUGGCUGCUAAUUACUCUCUUAAUGAUUGUGGAAGUAGGAAGGGUGUACUUAUUUUUUAACCACGUGGUUUCUGAAUGUUGUUUUACUGUAAAUUACUACAUAUUAAAAUCUGUUGUGUUUUGUUGUUGUCACCUGAUGUACUUUGUUUGUUUAUAAACAAGUGGAGAGAGGGAGUGAGUAGAUGGGUCACUCGCUUUCUGUUGACCUAAUCUGUGUGCAUUUUUAUGUCUCCAUUCACCAUCUUUAAGCAAAAUAAACCAUCAUAAAUUGCAUCAAUGCCUCAUAAAUUGCCGCCCCCACCUCGGCUACUCAGACCACAUCUCUGUUAUGCUAAUCCCAGCAUACAGACCGCUAGUCAGACACUCCAAACCAGUUCUGAAGCAGGUGAAAACCUGGCCAGCAGGAGCCUCUGCUCUUCAGGACUGUUUUGAACAAUACUCUUUGCACUAUUGUCACUAGGUUCACUUUUAAACAGAAAUGUGUACUGAUCAGCGCUGCAGUGGGACUUACUAUGCCCAUAGUCUGUCCCAGUAGUCAUUGGACUGUCUUGUGCUGUCUGCACAUGUUUGUGCACUUUAUGUAUAAAUUAUGUUAUAUUAUAUUAUAUUAUCCCUUGUAGUUCUGUGUUGUUCUGUGUUUGUCUUAUGUAGCACCUUGGUCCUGGAGAAAUGUUUCGUUUCACUAUGUACUUGUAUAUGGUUGAAAUGACAAUAAACUCCACUUGAAAUUGAAAUUGAUCAGAAUGAGUCAUAAAAUUUUUUCCACUACUUUCCCACUACCUCUCAGGGGCGACAGGCUACCGUUACAUACUAACUGUUUCUAUAUUAGGCUUAUACUGUUCACAUUUUCCAGGUCUAGGACAAGUUCUUGUCUGGCUACCCCCCAGUCCCCAGAGCCCCAGAGCACUUCCUCCAGAACACUGGACUAGUGGACGAUGGUGUUGUUGGAAGCAUUCUUGGUGCUGCUGCUUGUGUUUUUUUUUCCUGGUCAUUAUGAGGUGAAAGAGCUUUGAAAAGUAGGUCACUCAUAUAGCUCUCACUUAUUCUUUAAAUGCUUAGUUGUCUGUUGUAAAAGAAAUUGUUAAAAUAAACUUUGUAAUUAAUCUUUUAAUGUGUCGUGAUUAUGCGUACAGAUGGGUUCAGGAUAGAAGAGAUCCCUGGUGCAGAUGUGACUAGAGUCUAGCAAGGCAGGCCACCCGAGUCUAAAGCGCUGGAGAAAAUGCUGUGUUACUCAGGAUGACUCAUUUGCAUAGGUCUGGCAUUAAAUGCUCCUACAUAUGCCUGAGUGCUUGACUGGGUGUGUGAACUUUUAUUUAACAGCUGUUCUGUAAACUGCAGUAUGAGGACCAUCUGUGUUUUUUAAAAUAAAUUCAACUGUUGUGUCUUUUAAUUUUCACCCAUCACUAUACCUGAGGUUUACUGCAUUGGCAUAAGAGCUUCUUUCAGUGCUUCUUUCAUUCUUCCUUAUUUAUUUUUUUUUUACCAGCCUUGUUUCUACUAAUAAUACAAGAUGGGUAUAGAUAUACGCAAUGUUUGCAAAUGUUUUGCAAAAUUGCAAACUUUAUUUCUGAGGCAAUAAUUUGAAUGAGAAAAGUACAGACUGAUACUGUGUGAUUAUAUGAAAUAAUGUCACAUACUGUGUGUUCCAAACUAAAACGUUCAUGUUGUUCAUUAAACAUGCAUAAACAACACACCAUACCUUACACCAUAUCACAUAAAAUGCCAAAAAUGCCAAAAACAUACUACACAUCAUUGUGUCACAGCAGGGCUGUGGGUAUAAUUAGAUUAAAAUAAGUCAAAACUCUAAACAAAUUCUUCUGCAAAGCAAACAUCAGGCAACAUCUUUCACCCUGACUGGACUGCAUGACUCCACUUCAUGACCCAUCUAUAAAACCACUACACCAGCUGACACUUUACUUACAUUAACAAAUCAAAGUAAAGACAAGGUGAACAUGUCCUGUUCGAAAGUAAGCUUACAGAUGAGCUUUUCCUUCCUUUGUUAGUUGAAAAUUGCAAAAAAGGCAUGAUCAAAUUUGACAUUUCUAUCAGUGUAAGAAUCUGUACUGAAAAAUUAAUAAUUGCUGAAUUAGAAAUUAUAACACAGAGAUUAUUCUCAUUCCUGGGCUACUCUGAGACAAAUCAGUAGUGAAGUCUAACAGGAAGCUGCAGUGUCAAAUACAAAACUGUCAUUAAACCACUUUGCUCCAUAUGUAUUUUACUGUAUUUCAUAUUUCAUUACACACUGUUUGUCUAAAGUGAAUGCAUUUCAUUGGAAAUCUUAUUGAAUAUUAAAUGAACAUUUGUACCUGUAAAGUCUCUGAGCUUAUCCUGAGCUGAGCGUAUUACAGUAAUGUUGACCGGAAAACUUAAUUUUGGUCAAAACCUAAUAUUGUGGAUAUUAAUUGGAUAUGUUUGGCUAUUCAGCCACAGAAACACCUUUUUUUUUUUUAAAUAUGUCUCCUAUCACACGACAGCUACCAACCAGGCAAUCAUAUGCUUCCUCCGGGAAACGUGAACCCAGCAAACCACACCUUUUACUAGCUGCUGCUCAUGCCUAGGCAUAACGUACUCAAAGAAAAGGGAUUAAUGCCACCCCUCCCACUCAGAGACCAUGGCCAGUUUUGCUUUCUUGGCCCCCCAGCCAUGGAUGGCUGUGACAUUGUCAGGAUUCAAACUCAUGAUCAAGACAAGACACUACAUGGUGGCAAAAAUCCUUCUCAUGAUUGACAAUACUAAGUCAAUCCCUCGCAGCAGAUGGCCCACUGUAGCAUUAUUAAAAAAAAAUUAAUUAAAAAAGACUCAGCUAUGUCAAGCGUGUUUUAGAUUUUCAAGCCAUUUGGAAUUUAAAUGGUCCAAAUGGGGCCUAAAAUGGUCCACAUGGAUCAGGUCAUCCCCGAAGAUUGUAAAGUAUUUCAUAUUUGGGUCCAAAUGCUAGUUCAUAUACACAUCAUACCAGUGAAGCGUACCCAUGAAGGUUAAGUUAUCUUUAACGGCAGUCAGAUUUAAGACAUUUCCUCACAUUCCACAGACUGAGAGUGCAUUUCUGAAAUAUAGGAAAGUGCAUUGCUGACAUAUGCAAAAUACAAUGGUAUGACAUUUAACAGGUUAGAAAACUAUAAAUUAAUGUACUAUAAAUGCAAACAAAUACAAAUCAUCUUUACAUUCAUUCUUUUUUCAGUUACAUAUGAAAUAGCUCCUUUUUACUUACAAAUGAAGCAUAAAUUAGAAACUACUUACCUUCAAUUUUUUAACUGAAGACUGUGAAAAAAGGUUUAUGAGUGUGGUUGGUUAGACUGAUUACUAGUUUCUCUGUGCCCUAGGGCUACCAAAUGCAAAAAAAUUGCAUUCGAAUUUCAGUUAUAAAACAUUUUAAUGCAUUUGAAUAUUAAUGAGCCUGAAAUUACACUUACACUUCCAGUUUGUAUGGCCUAAGACACAGUGUCUAUUGUGAUAGUGGAAAUUGCCUGUUUUUUAUCAGUAAUAUAUAGUUUGCUUUUACAUUUCAUAAGCUACACCGCCUUCAUUCUCACUCAACAUGAUAUGACGUGAUCAUGUUGUAUAUUAUUAUAGUGUUGUAUAUUAUCAUUAUAUGCUAAUAAAACACAAUUUAAGAAAAAUCAAAUACAUACUAUACUGUAUACUGCCACUGGUCACUUGCGUGGGCCGUUUUUACUUUCAUGUGAACUGGAGCAGGUUUUUGGGGUUUUUUUAACCACGUUUAUUCAUUCAUCUUCAGUAAAUAAAUGCUUUGUCCUGCUCAGGGUCCUUGUGGCUUAAAUUAUGUAUUUGUCUAUAUAGUAGAACAAGAACCAACUGAUUUCAUUAGAAAAAUAUAUUGCAGGUGGGUACAAAGAAUUACUGUAACGAAUAAUCCUAUUUUGUAUUUCAUAAACAAAUCACCUGCAAAAACAAACUCAUUUACCGAUCAGACCUUAAAGUAUUAUACACUUCAUUACAAGCACAGCGUUCCUACGCAAGUUUCUUACAUAAAAAACUAAAUAUAGGUUAAACGACUGAUCAUGAUGCAAACAUUUGAAAUGCCUCAUGUCUUGGUGUAAGAGAAAUAAAGCACUGAGCAUCUGGGAUCAUUUUGAACUUUUGACCAAAAUCCUGUGAGCAGAGGCUAAUAAUCCACAAAUAAUUAUUUCUGUGCAGAUUUUAAGAAAUAAUGGUGGUAGUGAAUCACUUUAAUCUUGCUGAAAAAGGCAAUUUUAAAAAAGCUUCUUUUGCCUGAAAACAUUAUAGCUUUGUCAUUAAAGCUUUGUACUGUCCACCAAAUACCAUGCAAAUAAAUACCAUACCAAUGACUAAGAAUCUUUGUGUUUCCAGAUAUGUUUCCAGAAAAUUCGAAAGUUCAAGUACUUUUCUCCUCUGAUCAGCAUAUGAAGCGACAAAGCUUUGCGAUUUAAAUUAGAAGCCUUUUUAAUUUGAAUGACUUUUGAGGACUCCCCAGUUUUGUGAAGAUAUGCCAAAAAUCUGGUGACGAGUUAGCAAAAGUAUGCAGAUCAGCAAAAAAUAUAUCAUGGCAAAAAAUUAGUAGUGUGUGCAUGAAUGGUUUCUUUUCACCAAACCAAACACAUGCUUCUUCUAUAUUUAGGUUUUACAGUCGUUCAAUGACAUGACCUGAUCUGAGAUGACAAACUCAUCACUACAAAAACAGAAGCAUUUUAAAAUUAGCAUUUUAAAAUACAAACUGGCAGGCUACACAGUGUGUUGGACUUUUCCCCCCCUUGUUCCUAUAGGAAAUGUGUCGAUCGAGACCCUGACACUACACAGAUUGGCUUUUACCGGGUUAGUAAUUAAGCCCUAAUUAGUCAAGCUUUAACUAUCACUUUACUGCAGUGACAAUAAUUCCACUCCUUUUAAUGUUUUACACUGGACAGGGAAGCUCCAUUUCUAUACAGAAUCUGUAUAUGGACGUUUUUCUAUAAACCUAAGAGCAAAAUGUUGUUCUAAAAUAAUCAUGUAAAUGGUUUUCAUGGUAAAUUUAAAGGCUACACAGUUAAUUGGAUUUUAAUUGUUUAAUUUUUUUGUGUUAAGUACUGCAUUUUUUCUAAUAUGUGUAUUUGAAGGCAAAAGUCCAAAUUCAACAAAAACAAGCAUUAUCAGAGCUCAUUUAGCAGAUUUAUCUUAAAUUGUGCUGUAUUUAGUAUAUAGUGGACUACUGAGGUACUACAGCAUUAUUAUGUCAUAUCAUGUAGUGAGAAUGAAGACGGUGUAGCUUAUGAAAUACAAAAUCAAGCUAAGUAUUACUGACACAAAAACAUUCCUUUUUGUAAAUAAAUAGAAACGAAUCUAAAGCCUUCAAGUUUAAAAUAUAACUGAAAAUAAAGAAUGUUGAGAUAACUUUUUGUAUUAAUUUUUACUUGUAGUCCAUUUAUUUAUAGUUUUUUCCUUUAGCUUUCUAUACACCAAAUAAUUGCAUAUUGCAUAUAUCAGUAUAAAAUAUGCACUCUCUCAUAUUUUACCUUAUGAAAUUAUUGCUAGAACUUACCACUCAUCAAGGAUAAGCUGCAUUCACCUUAUCAUAUCAUCAUGGAAUGACUGUGAUGAACUUAUUUAAAUCUGGCUGCCAUUUAACACAACUUAUGCUUGAUAAGUCCAAAUCACUGGUAUGAUAUGCACAUAAACUAGCAGUUGAGCCCAAAAAAGUUUCACAAUCAUUAGGUAUGAUCAGAUCCAUUUAAACCAUUUUAAGCUCAGAUUCCAAAUACCAUGAAAACCCACAAUACUCUUGUCGUUGCCAUAAUGGACUCUUUUGUACCUUAACUAUCCUAUAGUGGUCCCUCUGCUACCCGAGAUAAACUAAAAUCAUUAUUGCAUGAUUGACAAUCACAUUUUUUUUUUUUACAGGUUUUGCCACAUGUAGUGCCUUCAGGAUGUACAAGUUUUUUUUUAAGAAUACAAGAACCAUAUGAGUUGUGGCCUGGAAUAAAAUAUAUUCCACCACAGUGCCGCAGACUUGUUUUCAUUUAGGACACUUUCUUGCCCUGGCUGUCUGUCAGUUAGUUGAGUAAGGAGCCAGUUUAACAAACACAAGAGUAAAUGCAGUCUGCCUAAAAUAGUCUGCUACAUAAGCACAAUCUCAUGCAAUGAAUUUUACACUUUGAUCAAGUUAUUGGAAAUUAGAUGCUAGAGCAAAAUGAACAUACGCAUAUCAAUUCAGUUUGUAAUCAGAUACCAUCUUUCAAAAUGUCAGUGAUGCAUCUGUAAUAUCAUCAAAAUAGAAAAGCACUUUAAUACACUCUGCAUGUUAAAAUAGCCUAAUAAAAAGAUGGGAAAUUUUGCCAACUCUCUGAUUUAAUCAGCAGUUAUUCCAGCACUAGUCAUAAAAAGAACAAUAAUCAGACAGUAUUUUGAUAAUCUGAUCAUCAGAGUGGUAACUACUUCCCAGUCUAAACUUGUAAGUCUUUAAAAUUUGGCAGUAAUACUGCUUUACAAAUCUACAGUUAUCAGAACUAUACAUAGUAGAUAUUUUUAAAAUUUCAUCAUGUGAAGGGUUUUCCCAGGCUGUCUCACAUGUUCACUUUACCCCAUAAUGUCCUGUAGGUUCCUUUGAAAGAAAAAGCUAUAAACAAAUACAGCUGUGUAGUGUCAGCAUAAUCACUCUCACACACUCACUCGCUCACACACACACACAGACAUUCACUUAAUUCUCAACUAAUUCACCGUUUCAGUCAUUUGGCUCCAGCUUUUGGCUUUUUCAGGUGCUAGAUAAUAUAUUUAGAGAAUGUUUUUUGACUCUUACUCAUUAUCUCAGCUCUGUGAGCUUUGCACUUUAUGGAGUUUUGUGGGUGUCACCAAAUACACUAACUUACCCAACUCCAGGGUCCCUGGUUUGAUCCUGAGUUUGUUUUACUUUCUGUGUGGAGUUUCUGUGCAUGUUCUCUCCAUGUUCAUGUGGGUUUCCUCCAGGAUCUCUGGUUUUCCACUUAAAACAUGCCAGUAGAUAAAUUGGCCCUAGGUGUUAAUGUGCAUGUGAAUGCUUCCAAACUACCAGAUACCACAGAUGUAGCCAUAAAAUCUAAAAACUACAAAAUUUAAAAUCUAGUUUGUGCAACAGUAACUUCAUUAUACUGAAUUCAAAAUUUUUUCUACACACACUUUGAUAAAUGACAUCCCUGGCCUCAUUUGACCCCCACUGUUCACUUGAGGGUUACUCUUCCCUACUACUGUAUUUUUCCAUACAAAAGGUAUUAAUUACUUGGGACGUGAUCUGGAACAUCAUGGCAAGACAAAUUCGUAACCUGGCAAACAAACAAAAAAACUUUAUCUAUAUAGUAUAAAAUUCUCAUUUUUAUUUUUUCUCAUUCAGGUGCCUACUAUAAAAUCUGUCCUAAUACCUAACUAGAUAAAUAAACAUGACUACCACUGCACUCUUACUACUGAACCUGAUGUUAGGUUUAAGCAUAAUUAAAUAUUUAAGCUUAUUAGCAAUUUACUAAGACUUGUGACAACUCUAAUCCCUCCCCCACCUUUUUCUUUUUCUUUUUUUUUUUUAAAUAAAUCUCAGGGAUAGAAAGAAACUCCUACAAAAGGCGAUGGAGGUGAACUCUGAGUAAAUGAGAUGGUUCUACAUAAAAGUGUGAAGAUAAAAGUUAACAUUUGACGUCUACAAAUCUAAAAUCUGUAAUACCAGCUAGAUAAAGAAACUACAGACUGACUGGUGAAACUAUUGUUAUGUGUAAGCGUAGUGAAGUAAUGAACAUUAAAAGCUGACUUGGGACGGUUUAACCUGCCGGAGCGUGGGAGAGAAGAAGCAGCGAGCUGGCGAGACGUGGGCAGAAUUAAUAAACACACACACACACACACACACACACACACACACACACACAAUUUUAAUUCAAAUAAUCUCAGCACUGUUACCAGAAACGCUUAUGGCUUAGCUCUGUAUUACACAGCCUACUAUAUAAGGCGUACAACGUUCUAGAACACUAAAAACCGACCAAUAGGAACAGUUAAGACGUCACCGGGGCUCAGUCGCCCUAACAACACAACACUUCCCAUUAGACUGUAAGUCAGUGCAAGGAAUAUGGGGCUAGUGCAUUGCUGUAGCUAACUAGCUUCCUGACGUUAGACAAAGAGAAGGGGCUCAAAGGUAUUUGGACAAAGUGACUGACAAGAAGUUAAUUGACCAGGUGCGGUCCAUUCCCUCAUUACUUCAAGACAAAUGAUGCAGAUAAAAGGUCUGGAGUUGAUAUCCGGACCUGACUGUACAUACAUACACACACACCCACACACACACACCCACACACACACAUAUAUAUAUAUAUAUAUAUAUAUAUAUAUAUAUAUAUAUAUAUAUAUAUAUAUAUAUAUAUAUGUAAGCAGUGAUUAUGUUCAAAAACAUUCAGAUAGACUAAUCUGUGUGUAGUUUUCAUUGAGAUACAGCCUAAUUUCCCACUUGCUGUAAUGUGAUCUUAUUUUCAUGCCUGUAUUAGAGCUAUAUGUGGUCUGAAACAGAUGUCCAUCUUGGGAUAAACAUGGACCAAAUCAGACAGACUAAACAAAGCCCAAUUUUCAGUGACUAUCUGUGGGCUAAAUAAAGGCCAUGACACUGAUGUGAACGCAGAAGUGUGGGAGCUGGACAACUUCCAAAUAUAUUACAUAGUGGAUAUCACCCAGGAUCCAUUAGAAGGAAGUGUUCAAUCAUUACCCGUAAAUCAUUACUGUAUUUCACUUUUCAUAUUCGUAAUAGUCAAUGUAAACAUUUAAACCUAAAGAUGUUUUCGUCAUUUCUUAGUGUAAUUCUGUAGAUGUAUCCAAGAUUGGCACCACAAGUGGCCUGCUGACACUUCCUGAGGAAAAGGCCCCUACAAUCCUUAGAGAACAUGAAGAGGCAAAGAGACUAUUUCCUCACGGAAGCUGCUUGUUAAAGUCGCUGUCAGAGACCUUGUAGAGAAACAUGGGUUAAAAGCUGGCACUAGCAAAGGAGAUUGUGUCAUUGUUCCCCUUAUUAAGGAUUAAAGUCCCAUUUGGCGAAAAUAAGGGACAUAUGAGCUGUGCUACACUAUGUUAAAUAUCCUCAUUCAUCUGCAUCUGGGAGAAGUGUUGCCAGCAGUAAAUGCUGUGUGAAAUCUGCUGUCUCAUACCUGUUGGAGUUGGUGACAGCUGGUACCAGCGUGACCUCCUUGCUCAGUGAAUCUAUGAAAGGGUCUCUGAAGUCAACUCAGCCGCAGUUAGUUUCCAUCAGUUCUCUAGGACAUGGAGCCCGUAUAUAUAUAGCAGGGCUUGUUGCUGCAGGCUCACUUGGAGAAGUUGUUGAAGUGUGGCUUCCAUCAUGCUGCUUCAGCAGCAGUCCUACCAGAUCCAUGCCGAUCCUCUCGAAGGGGACGCCAAUAAUGGGGAGAGG
Molecule: long non-coding RNA, 14027 nt
Organism: Pangasianodon hypophthalmus (striped catfish)
Lineage: Eukaryota; Metazoa; Chordata; Actinopteri; Siluriformes; Pangasiidae
Exons: 6
Source: RefSeq, a predicted model, not a curated record